GGAGUUUGGACCGUGUCUCAGUUCCAAUGUGGGGGACCUUCCUCUCAGAACCCCUACUGAUCGUCGACUUGGUGAGCCGUUACCUCACCAACUAUCUAAUCAGAAGCGUGCUCACCCAUAGUCCUUACGUUUCAUCACAAAGUCAUGCGGCUUCGUGACACAUGGAGCUUUAAUCCAACUUUCGCUGGGCUAUUCCCCGACUAUGGACAGAUUGCACACCUGUUACGCACCCGUGCGCCGGUCGCCGGCAAGUAUUGCUACUCCCGUUACCGCUCGACUUGCAUGUGUUAGGCCUGCCGCUAGCGUUUAUC
This 311-nucleotide ribosomal RNA is filed under the name uncultured Paludibacter sp. RNAcentral's name for it is "partial 16S ribosomal RNA". Lineage: Bacteria; Pseudomonadati; Bacteroidota; Bacteroidia; Bacteroidales; Paludibacteraceae. The record is from RNAcentral.